RNAcentral lists this long non-coding RNA (567 nucleotides) under Olea europaea subsp. europaea. Lineage: Eukaryota; Viridiplantae; Streptophyta; Magnoliopsida; Lamiales; Oleaceae. The record is from RNAcentral.
CAUCAAACUACUUUUUCUAUGUAUAACCCUUUUUUCACGAAAUAUUGGUUCAAUUUCUAAUUCAUUUGCAAUCUCUUUAGCAUCUAACAUGGUCGAUUCAAAACCAGAUUUUUUUAUAACUUUUGAAAAAUGAAAUGAGGCCUUUUAAAUGGUCUAUAACAACAUCAAUAUGCAUGUUUUCUGCUUGCAAAUGUUUGCUUACUCUGUUAACAUUAUUCAAUACUUCAUACCAAAUAAUCAUCCCACGUAAGAAUUCAAAAUUGUCAAUUUCAUACGUUGCCAAACACUCCGCUUCACUUUUUGUCUUAGGAUCAUCAACACUUGCUAAUUGAAGUAACGUUUUUUUUUUAUCUGCGGAGCUUGAAAACUUAUCGCUUUAACACUUUCAAUAUGACUUUCCCAACGAGUUUGUGACGAGGGCUUAAGGGUAAGACUAGUUACAUUCUCUUUGAAAAUUUUCCAUUGUUUAGUAGAUGAAGAAAAUAAAGUGUAUAUAAGUUGCACCGCCCCAAAGAAAGAUUUAGCUUUUGAACAAUAAGUGGCCAUAUCACAAAGUGCAAGAUUAAG